CAUCUUUCUGAGAGGAAUACCAGACAUGAAGCAGCAGGACGACGAGGUGAAACUGUGCGGUAAAAGUGACAACAGGUGCUGAUUAAAGAGCAACACAUCCAACAUCCUCACGCUGAAACUCUUCCUCACAUAUUCUGCCACCUUGUCCUUUCUGAUCGUCAUCUCUUUCCCUCUUAUUCCCUUCGUCUUCCCUCCAUCUCCACCUAACUACAUUAUGUCAAAUCUCUCCAACCCCUCCAACUUGUUCUGUCUCUUUAUAAGUCUGCUGGUGGAGGUGU
Molecule: long non-coding RNA, 278 nt
Organism: Sebastes umbrosus (honeycomb rockfish)
Lineage: Eukaryota; Metazoa; Chordata; Actinopteri; Perciformes; Sebastidae
Exons: 3
Source: RefSeq, a predicted model, not a curated record